ACGGCAGCACGGAGCUUGCUCUGGUGGCGAGUGGCGAACGGGUGAGUAAUAUAUCGGAACGUACCCUGGAGUGGGGGAUAACGUAGCGAAAGUUACGCUAAUACCGCAUACGAUCUAAGGAUGAAAGUGGGGGAUCGCAAGACCUCAUGCUCGUGGAGCGGCCGAUAUCUGAUUAGCUAGUUGGUAGGGUAAAAGCCUACCAAGGCAUCGAUCAGUAGCUGGUCUGAGAGGACGACCAGCCACACUGGAACUGAGACACGGUCCAGACUCCUACGGGAGGCAGCAGUGGGGAAUUUUGGACAAUGGGCGAAAGCCUGAUCCAGCAAUGCCGCGUGAGUGAAGAAGGCCUUCGGGUUGUAAAGCUCUUUUGUCAGGGAAGAAACGGUGAGGGCUAAUAUCUCUUGCUAAUGACGGUACCUGAAGAAUAAGCACCGGCUAACUACGUGCCAGCAGCCGCG
This 458-nucleotide ribosomal RNA is filed under the name uncultured Janthinobacterium sp. Its description in RNAcentral is "bacterial SSU rRNA". It matches the Rfam family "Bacterial small subunit ribosomal RNA", at positions 66 to 519 of the family's 1533-position model. Lineage: Bacteria; Pseudomonadati; Pseudomonadota; Betaproteobacteria; Burkholderiales; Oxalobacteraceae. The record is from RNAcentral.